This 253-nucleotide ribosomal RNA is filed under the name uncultured bacterium. Its description in RNAcentral is "partial 16S ribosomal RNA". It matches the Rfam family "Bacterial small subunit ribosomal RNA", at positions 524 to 776 of the family's 1533-position model. The record is from RNAcentral.
UACAGAGGUCUCAACCGUUGUUCGGAUUCAUUGGGCGUAAAGGGUGCGUAGGCGGUCGCGCAAGUCGGAUGUGAAAUCUCAGGGCUCAACCCUGAUACUGCAUUCGAUACUGCGUGGCUAGAGUGCUGGAGAGGAGACUGGAAUUUACGGUGUAGCAGUGAAAUGCGUAGAUAUCGUAAGGAAGACCAGUGGCGAAGGCGAGUCUCUGGACAGCAACUGACGCUGAGGCACGAAGGCCAGGGGAGCAAACGGG